AGCAGCCGCGGUAAUUCCAGCUCCAAUAGCGUAUAUUAAAGUUGUUGCAGUUAAAAAGCUCGUAGUUGAAUUUCGGGAUUUGUCAGUUGGUCGGGCUUCACUGUCCGUAUUGACUUGAUGGAUUCUUACCUUCUGAAUAACCAGCAUGCUAUUAAGUUAGUGCGUUGGGGAAGCAGAUCUAUUACCUUGAAAAAUUAGAGUGCUUAAAGCGAGCUAGUGCUUGAAUAGAUUAGCAUGGAAUAAUAAAAUAGGACGGCAUGGUUCUAUUUUGUUGGUUUCUAGGAUCACCGUAAUGAUUAAUAGGGAUAGUUGGGGGCAUUAGUAUUCAAUUGUCAGAGGUGAAAUUCUUGGAUUUAUUGAAGACUAACUUCUGCGAAAGCAUUUGCCAAGGAUGUUUUCAUUAAUCAAGAACGAAAGUUAGGGGAUCGAAGACGAUCAGAUACCGUCGUAGUCUUAACCAUAAACUAUGCCGACUAGGAAUCGGACGAUGUUAAUUUAGUAAUGACUCGUUCGGUA
This 516-nucleotide ribosomal RNA is filed under the name uncultured Acaulospora. RNAcentral's name for it is "SSU rRNA". It matches the Rfam family "Eukaryotic small subunit ribosomal RNA", at positions 569 to 1085 of the family's 1831-position model. The record is from RNAcentral. Lineage: Eukaryota; Fungi; Glomeromycota; Glomeromycetes; Diversisporales; Acaulosporaceae.